AGGAAGAAGUGCACAGAAUGAAAUACGGGAGAGGAGAAGAGAGAUGGAGGGAGAAACAUCCGUGAGCUCUGGAUACAUCCUACCCAACAGGGACCUUCCUGUCUCCAGCAAUUCAGAUCUCUGCACCCAUUCGAGUUUCCCUUUGAAUGUCAGCAUGAAGAUUUCACUGUGUAUGUAAUACUGAGAGAGACCAUAGGGAAGGCCACAAAAGUCAUCUGUUUCUUGGUCUCUGUGCACCUUUGCUCCCUCCAGAGUAUAGCUUCCAGAGGUCUUGGCCCAGGGUCUCUUCUUCCUUAUCGUUGAUGUGGGAGGAAUCAGAGCAGCAGCAACUUUAUGUAUCAUGGUUCACAAGCAGUAAGGCAUUGCAUGUACAUCGAGGGAUGCUUCUCUAUUCCACUUACUAAGAUGUAUUUGCUACGACACGUGGGCUUUCACCCUGAUAUACCACCCUCGCCAGAGUCCUAAACAAAUGGGCUGUCUCAUCUUGGACUUCAACCUCCAGAAGUAUAAACCAAAAACAAGAAAGCAAACAAGAAAACAAAACAACAAACAGACAAAACAAACUCUCUUUGCCUCAUAAAUAGCCUACAUCAGAUGUUUCAUGUAUAGUGGUGCAAAGUUAUACAUCCUUCUACGUUUCAUAAUUGGUGGCUCCUUAUUUGAAGAAAUAUAUAUAUGGACUGUAUCACAGCUGAAGAGCCUGCCAUCCCCUAUGAUGGGUCUGUUGUGACUAUAGAGAUGAAACCCAAGACAUCUACAGGGAGAGAUCUGAGAGGACAGAUGGCAGAAAAACAAAUUGCCCAGCUGCCUAGAGCAACAGGUAGAUGCCCACGGAGCCAGGGCAGGAAAGGUUUCCUUUGGCAAUGGCACAUACAUGUUGGCUCAUAGGUUAAAGGGAUGGAGCCCAAAAAAUGCAGUCUCCCUAGGGUCUAGCCUUCUUUGUCUUAUCUUGUGACUUGGAACAUUUUAGGGUGAUCCUGCUCCAGGAUCAGUCCACCUUUUUCAACAGCCACCACGAAGUUCAAGUGAAAGCGUCAGGCUCAGGCAAGGAGGAAGGGGCUGGUAAGUCUUAGGAUUUAUGCAUCGUUCUCCGGAGGCUUCAGCAGUUAGU
This is a long non-coding RNA of Microtus ochrogaster (prairie vole), 1111 nucleotides long. RefSeq lists it as uncharacterized. The transcript is spliced from 3 exons. The record is from RefSeq and is a predicted model, not a curated record. Lineage: Eukaryota; Metazoa; Chordata; Mammalia; Rodentia; Cricetidae.